AUGACAAAUUUGCUACUAUCUCACAGU
RNAcentral lists this non-coding RNA (27 nucleotides) under Rattus norvegicus (Norway rat). Lineage: Eukaryota; Metazoa; Chordata; Mammalia; Rodentia; Muridae. The record is from RNAcentral.